RNAcentral lists this small RNA (112 nucleotides) under Kordiimonas lacus. RNAcentral describes it as "Kordiimonas sp. S3-22 rpsB sRNA". It matches the Rfam family "rpsB sRNA". Lineage: Bacteria; Pseudomonadati; Pseudomonadota; Alphaproteobacteria; Kordiimonadales; Kordiimonadaceae. The record is from Rfam by way of RNAcentral.
CACACGUGGGUGAAGGCUUCCUGCUGUGUUGGCAGGCCGCCAUCCGGUGUUUCGGGAAAUGGUUUUCCGAUACGCACGCCCACGGAGGCUUAACCGGAAAAGGAGUAGUAUU